This 489-nucleotide ribosomal RNA is filed under the name uncultured bacterium. Its description in RNAcentral is "bacterial SSU rRNA". It matches the Rfam family "Bacterial small subunit ribosomal RNA", at positions 1 to 518 of the family's 1533-position model. The record is from RNAcentral.
GUCUAGAGGGUUCGAUUCUGGCUCAGAAUGAACGCUGGCGGCAUGGAUUAGGCAUGCAAGUCGAACGGGGCCCUUCGGGGCCGAGUGGCGAAAGGGUGAGUAACACGUGAGCAAUCUGCCCCCAAGGCUGGAAUAAGCACUGGAAACGGUGUCUAAAACCGGAUGAGGUCCGGGACCGCAUGAUCCCGCAACCAAAUAUUUAUACCCUGGGGAUGAGCUCGCGGCCCAUUAGCUAGUUGGCGGGGUAACGGCCCACCAAGGCUGCGACGGGUAGGUGGUCUGAGAGGAUGGUCACCCACACUGGGACUGAGACACUGCCCAGACUCCUACGGGAGGCUGCAGUCGAGAAUCUUCCGCAAUGGGCGCAAGCCUGACGGAGCGAUGCCGCGUGAGGGACGAAGGCCUUCGGGUCGUAAACCUCUGUCACCGGGGACGAAACCUGACGGUACCCGGAAAGGAAGCCACGGCUAACCACGUGCCAGCAGCAGC